UUUUCCUGGAAUUAUUCAGUCGUCGAGAAGACGAUCCGAGAGCCAGUCGAUAACAACAUAUAACAGUGAAGAUGUGUCAAGCCACUCAAAACGUAAGUCUGUGAGCUUCAGGAAAUCGUCCUUCUUGGAUAAUUGAGAGUCAGGCAGAGUAUUCACAGGACCCCGGCCAUCCCGGCUAAACACAAUGGACGUAAGUAGUACAGGUAGGUAAAACAGUAAAUCGUGUUAUGCUUGGCCGUAAACCCUACACUGUUUGAUUGCCAGGUUCUUCUCGCAUAUUCUGGUAGCUCUAAUGCAAUGGAAGAUGAUGAUCACUUCUUCAUAUCUUCAUAAGUUGACAAACGA
Long non-coding RNA from Orbicella faveolata, 345 nucleotides. NCBI's taxonomy places the organism in Eukaryota, Metazoa, Cnidaria, Anthozoa, Scleractinia, Merulinidae. The record is from RefSeq and is a predicted model, not a curated record.